Molecule: long non-coding RNA, 841 nt
Organism: Myripristis murdjan (pinecone soldierfish)
Lineage: Eukaryota; Metazoa; Chordata; Actinopteri; Holocentriformes; Holocentridae
Exons: 3
Source: RefSeq, a predicted model, not a curated record
UGCUGAGCAGCCCCCUUCCAAACAACUAGUCCUGAAUGGUGGAUGGAAAAGGAAUAAACAAUGAUGAACAUGAAUAAAGGGAAAAAAAAAUGUUCAAUGUUCAAACCUGCAACAUGCUAAAGGUAACAUCUCAGGGAAAGUGGGAGAGGACCUGGUUCAGCACCUUGUGGCACUCCACUAUCACCAGCUCUGAUGCCAGGUCAGGCGUUGCAGAUGUCACAGGACAUUUUAAUGGAAAAAGCAAGGCUUGUGAGUCUUUGGAGCUGACAUGUCUUCAUUCGCUGGCUACUCAGAGCACCAUCCCUCAUCACUGAGCAGUAGGUGGGGGAUGAGGUUGGGAGUGUCUUGAUCUUCCAGUGGACUGGGAGUUUCUGCUUCAAAACAGCCAGCGGGUUGAAAAGUGAGUUUUGAAAGACCAAAGAAAUCUCAGCUGCUGGUGAAGUAAUCAUUGAGUCAUUGGUAUUGAUUAACAACUGUACCAAGCCUCCAUAGAUAUAUUGUGUCCAGAAACAAACUUACUUGCUUCCCCUUUAGCAGCUCCUUGUCCUGCUGAAGAAUCCUUGAACAAAACACUGAACCUGUAACUGCGCAGUCACUGCAGGGCACACUGGAUAAUAAGAUCUAAGAAAUCUGCUGAAUGAACACACAAGAUAUGUAACCAUAGAUCAGUAUAGGUCCAAAAGAUUUUAUUCACUGUCUGAACAAAAUUCACCACAGUUCUUUUUAUAACACAUUCUUUGAGGAAUUAUUUGGAAAUUUUCUUGUAAUUUUAUGAAAACUUUAUUUUAAUUUAUGCGUAAUUCUUCUUGUAAUAUAAUUUCAAAUUUAUUUAUAAAUAAAU